GUCUACGGCCAUACCACCCUGAACGCGCCCUAUCUCGUCUGAUCUCGGAAACUAAGCAGGGUCGGGCCUGGUUAGUACUUGGAUGGGAGACUCCCUGGGAAUAUCCAAGACCCUAAUUA
RNAcentral lists this ribosomal RNA (119 nucleotides) under Propithecus coquereli (Coquerel's sifaka). The record is from RNAcentral. Lineage: Eukaryota; Metazoa; Chordata; Mammalia; Primates; Indriidae.